This 54-nucleotide non-coding RNA is filed under the name Escherichia coli. The record is from RNAcentral. Lineage: Bacteria; Pseudomonadati; Pseudomonadota; Gammaproteobacteria; Enterobacterales; Enterobacteriaceae.
UGUGUGUAGUCUUGGCGGUACCAGUUUUUUCCUUAGUCCUUUCUGGUACCGCCC